UUUCCGUAGGUGAACCUGCGGAAGGAUCAUUAUUGUAUAGCCGACGAACGAGGGCUGUCGCUGAUCCGAUACGAUGCGCACGCCCGAGUGCCCGAACACCCGACCAUCACAUCUCUUUGUCCAACACCACCAGGUCCCUCCUGCAGCUUGGUCGGCGGGCGGCUUUCGCUUUCUCGCCAGUUAUGUUUCCGCUGGCGAAAGUAUUUUUUGUUUUUGCGAACACGCUAUCAAUACAACUUAAAACAACGAAUCUCUUGUCUCUCGCAUCGAUGAAGAACC
RNAcentral lists this unclassified non-coding RNA (279 nucleotides) under plant metagenome. RNAcentral's name for it is "partial contains small subunit ribosomal RNA, internal transcribed spacer 1, and 5.8S ribosomal RNA". The record is from RNAcentral.